Long non-coding RNA from Dermochelys coriacea (leatherback sea turtle), 2069 nucleotides. RefSeq lists it as uncharacterized. The record is from RefSeq and is a predicted model, not a curated record. Lineage: Eukaryota; Metazoa; Chordata; Testudines; Dermochelyidae. The transcript has 3 exons.
UUUAGCUGUGACACCCAUGGCCUCACCAGGUCAGCUAACUUGGGCUCAUGGGGUUCAAGUAGCGGGGCUAAAAAGUGCUGUGUAGACAUUCAGGCUCACGCUGGAGCCCAAGAUCUGAGACCUUCAACCCUGGCAGGGUCCCACACAGCUCAGGAAUCAGCCCAAGCCCAAAUGUCUACACAACAGUUUUUUAGCCCUGGAGCCCAAGUCCCAUGAGCCUGAGUCAGCUGACAGGACCAGCCAUGGGUUUUUUAAUCCCUGUGUAGAUAUGCCUUCUGAGUACCUUUUCCUGGCCUAAAAGAGCUCUGUGUAGUUUGAAAGCUUGUCUCUCUGACUAACAGAAGUUGGUUCAAUAAAAGAUUAUUACCUCACUUAGCUUCUCUCUCUAAUAAAAAAUAAUAGUACUUUUCAUUUAGAUUUACAUUGUAGAGAAGAUGCACAAUAAGAGACAUAAAAAAGCCUUCACAGAUGAUAGAUUGCUCUGCUUUUGUGACCAUUGGAAGAUACGCAAUUUACCUUUUCACUUCUAUAUAUUUGAUCUUAAAGGCACAAUCUAGCUCUUAGAUAUAUAGCAGCUGUGAGGGAGCUGCUUAAAUUGCUUUUCUAAGAAAAACAGUUAAUCUCAACAAAUUAGGCAUACUAUAUGUAAUCAAAAUGUAUAGAUGUAUUUGGCUGGGAUUAACAGCCAGAUAAUCAUAUGGAGACAACUGCAGCUGUAUUUGUUUAGCCAGCAAUGAACUGCAGCUGGAAGCAUCACUGCUACCUGAGUUAAACAGGUAGCUAGGCAGCUAACGACUAACAAACCCAAACAUUCAUGACUUGCUAAUUUGUGCCCACAAUGAAUCUGCAGGGACAACAAUAUGAGAGCCUGUAAAAAAGAGAAACUCAUCAAACAGUUGAAAGUAGUACAAGCUGCCAAUGAAGCUGCUGCUGCCCCGAAUGAUGUAGCCAUUCUGAAUUUUGUGCAAAUGUCCUAGCACCAAGCUCCCAUCUGGUUCCAGGCACAUGGUUCCGUUAAUCACUUUAUCAGACAAUAGGUUGCCAUUGUGGUAGACUUGCAGCAGUCUCUUAUUACCAUCCCAUAGACAGCACACAUUGUGCCAUAUAAAAAGAGUUAAAUCAAGCUCAAUGUCUAUCUUUAUGCCAAAAAGAUACAGACUUAGAGGUUUGUUUUCACUGCCGAGUCUGAGCUCGAGAUCAUUUAUGUCAGUGGAGUUGCUGUUGUUUGUAUGGUAUGAAAAUGCUGUCCAAGAACUGACAUUUGUGGUUCUGUUUAGAUCAAUGCACACAGUGAAUUGCCUUAGUGGGGGGGUGCUGUUGUUGGCCAAGGAUACUUACUUAUCAUUCCUUCCAAAUAAAUCUAGUUUUUUUUCCUUUCAGGAAAUUUGUUUCUGUAAAAAUGGUGGGGAGGGCAGGGUGUGUAAAAGAAGAAGAAAAUCUCACUUUUCAGAGAGAAAACUGCAACAUGACCUCAUUCAGGUGAUUGAGAGAGCCUGGAGAACCAUGCUGGGAUAGGCUAUGUUAAUAUCAAUUACCCAUCAUUCUGACAAGUUACAUCAGAGGUUUGGUGUAAUAGCCAACAGCCCCAGAUCCUCGAGUGAAAAAUCUCUUUGGGAAGGUUAGAGGAAGAUGUGACACAAAAAGCUAAAAAAUCUCAAUAUGAAAUAAAUGUAAUGAAAUGAAGCUUGUACAAAAUGGCUCCGCCACAAAGGCCACGUUUGGCUGUUCAGACCCAAACAGAAUGUUCAGUUGCACAAACCUUCUUAGGGUGUUUUUGCUCCUCUUUGGAUAUGCAAAGAUUUUUGCCAUGGAGGUUUCUAUGGAGACUUUUAAAAUUUUCCAAAUUUCAGUGUACUGUAAUUAUGUCAAAAGCCUGUCUGCUGGGAGUCUGAGUGUCAGAAUGAGGAAUGCGGAUGUGUGGUUCACUAGCAUUCUUGCCACCGACUACUUUAUUGAAAUGGAAAGAUUCAUAUGCCCCGAGCCUUAAUAGCUGCUUUCUGUUUCUUAGACCUUUCAGCACAGAAUGGCUGUCCUCCUUCCCAAAUAACUCCAUGAAUCAUUGUCUAAGU